GCGGGUAGCGCAGGUCGCUAGAAAGCCUUCCAAGCUCUCGAUCAGGGUUCGAUUCCCUGUAUCCGCUCCA
RNAcentral lists this transfer RNA (70 nucleotides) under Pseudomonas lundensis. RNAcentral describes it as "tRNA-OTHER". It matches the Rfam family "tRNA". From Rfam's summary of the family: Transfer RNA (tRNA) molecules are approximately 80 nucleotides in length. Their secondary structure includes four short double-helical elements and three loops (D, anti-codon, and T loops). Further hydrogen bonds mediate the characteristic L-shaped molecular structure. tRNAs have two regions of fundamental functional importance: the anti-codon, which is responsible for specific mRNA codon recognition, and the 3' end, to which the tRNAs corresponding amino acid is attached (by aminoacyl-tRNA synthetases). tRNAs cope with the degeneracy of the genetic code in two manners: having more than one tRNA (with a specific anti-codon) for a particular amino acid; and 'wobble' base-pairing, i.e. permitting non-standard base-pairing at the 3rd anti-codon position. RNAcentral also lists the same sequence under 1 other name. The record is from RNAcentral. Lineage: Bacteria; Pseudomonadati; Pseudomonadota; Gammaproteobacteria; Pseudomonadales; Pseudomonadaceae.